UGCCAGCCGCCGCGGUAAUACGGAGGGGGCGAGCGUUGUUCGGAAUUACUGGGCGUAAAGCGCACGUAGGCGGAUUGGUCAGUUGGGGGUGAAAUCCCGAGGCUUAACCUCGGAACUGCCCUCAAUACUGCCAAUCUAGAGAUCGGAAGAGGUAAGUGGAAUUCCUAGUGUAGAGGUGAAAUUCGUAGAUAUUAGGAAGAACACCGGUGGCGAAGGCGACUCUCUGGUCCGAUACUGACGCUGAGGUGCGAAAGCGUGGGGAGCAAACAGGAUUAGAUA
This 279-nucleotide ribosomal RNA is filed under the name uncultured bacterium. RNAcentral describes it as "partial 16S ribosomal RNA". It matches the Rfam family "Bacterial small subunit ribosomal RNA", at positions 506 to 784 of the family's 1533-position model. The record is from RNAcentral.